Long non-coding RNA from Armigeres subalbatus, 1241 nucleotides. RefSeq lists it as uncharacterized. NCBI's taxonomy places the organism in Eukaryota, Metazoa, Arthropoda, Insecta, Diptera, Culicidae. The transcript has 3 exons. The record is from RefSeq and is a predicted model, not a curated record.
GUUGUUUUUGUUGUCAAACUGCCAUCACCCGAGUUUUCGAGAUCCGGAAACUGUUCCGUUCCGGCGGUUUGUGAACCUAUCCAGCUGCAGUGGAGAGUUUACACCUGUUGUGAAAGCCACACAUCCUGUUAACAGAACCAUAAUCCGCCGAAACCAGACGACAUUCAACUCACGAGUAUUCAAACAGAUAUGGUUCCCCUGAUUAGCAUGCCAGCCAAGAUGCCAGCGGUCCCACCCAUCAACAAUCGCACCAUGUCAAAACGGACGGAAACGGCCAUAGAAGCAGAUUCCACCCACAUCUCGAGCUAGUGCUUGCGAUCUUCGCGGAUCGUGCCAUUUUAUCCCGUGCCACCAUCCAACGAGUCUGGCGAUGACUAAAACUGCAGACAUCGCAUACGACGAUGACAACGGAGGUGGAAAUUGUGCAGCUAGAAAUGAUGGUCGCAAUUGUAUUGCUAAUGGACCUGGUGGUGGAACCGCUGAUACCGGAUCGAGUGGAAGCGGUCGAAUGGAAGGACAUCAUUUAGGAGGUAUGUGCCUAAGUGAUCCUAAAGAUUGAUUCCGUAAAGAGGAUUGUAUUGUCUGUCCUUUCGCCUCAGAGUAAAUCGUUGAAUAUGGGAUUCAAUAUGCCAGCUUCUCCAAGUGCCAACACCGCGGUUCCGGUAGCUUGAUCUUCGGAGGAGGGCUGCUAUGCACUGAACGAAACAUCGUAGGAUGUGUACUGCUGACCAGAUAUGGAUGCACCGGAAAGUAACGAUUAUCGUGCGCAAGGUAAUAGCAAUUACCGAGAAGAGUGCAAAAUAUUCGCGAUAGCGCAUUCGAGGCCCACCGAGAUCUUAAAGAUAUGGAUUCCUGAUUCGCACGAGGAAACAGUUUCCAAUUUGAUAAAUGCAAUGAUCAUUAUCAUCUAUCUCAUCACAAGCGUCGUCGAGACGAGAAUGGGCUUCCUUAAACUUCUAUUUCCGCCAAUACAGCAACCGGUAAUCUGACAUACUGCUACUCUUUAAGGCAUGAAUCCUGCUUUUACCAGUCCAACAGUAAUCAGUAGCUCCGGUAUGGUUUCAGUAAGUUUUUAAAAUAAGGAUUGUGUAUGUAUUUGAAAUACUAUUUUAAUAAAAAAAAAGUAAUAAAUAUUUACUUCGUUAAACAAUUAUUUCGAUAAUUCCAAUAUUUUGAAAAUCUCAAGCAAAAGCAAAACAAUGAAAAUUUACCCAAAUUUGGGUGAAAUUUACUAAUAAACC